Molecule: ribosomal RNA, 686 nt
Filed under: Acetothermia clone OPS143A
Lineage: Bacteria; Candidatus Bipolaricaulota
Description: bacterial SSU rRNA
Rfam family: Bacterial small subunit ribosomal RNA
Source: RNAcentral
GACSUAGGUCCCGAGCGUUGCCCGGAUUUACUGGGCGUAAAGUGCGCGUAGGCGGUUCGGCAAGUCGCCUGUGAAAGUCCGGGGCUCAACCCCGGGGUGCCGGGCGAAACUGCCGGGCUAGAGGACGGCAGAGGAGGGUGGAGCGGCCGGAGUAGCGGUGAAAUGCGUAGAUACCGGCCGAAAUCCCGAUGGCGAAGGCAACCCUCUGGGCCGUUCCUGACGCUGAGGCGCGAAAGCGUGGGGAGCGAACCGGAUUAGAUACCCGGGUAGUCCACGCCCUAAACGAUGCGGGCUAKGUGUCGGGGGGUAUUCCCUCGGUGCCGCAGCUAACGCGUUAAGCCCGCCGCCUGGGCAGUACGGCCGCAAGGCUGAAACUCAAGGGAAUUGACGGGGUCCCACACAAGCGGUGGAGCAUGUGGUUUAAUUCGAUGCUAAACGAAGAACCUUACCCGGGCUUGACAUGCAGGUGGUACCGACCCGAAAGGGAAGGGACCCCGGGCCGAAAGGCGCCGGGGAGCCUGCACAGGUGCUGCAUGGCUGUCGUCAGCUCGUGCCGUGGGGUGUUGGGUUAAGUCCCGGAACGAGCGCAACCCCUGCCGCCAGUUGCCAGCGGGCCCGAAUGGGCGCCGGGGACUCUGGCGGGACUGCCGGCGAAUAGCCGGAGGAAGGAGGGGAUGACGUCAAGU